Photinus pyralis (common eastern firefly) is the source of this 1681-nucleotide long non-coding RNA. RefSeq lists it as uncharacterized. The record is from RefSeq and is a predicted model, not a curated record. NCBI's taxonomy places the organism in Eukaryota, Metazoa, Arthropoda, Insecta, Coleoptera, Lampyridae. The transcript is spliced from 3 exons.
AAUUUCAAUAGUAAUAAUAAUAUGGACAUGAGGUUAAUUUUAUAUUAAAGGAUAACUAAUAAAGUUUUUUUAUACACCAUUUACAGGUGCUCAAUAUGGCCCCCUUGAGAUGCACGGCAUAUGUCUAUGCGAUACUCAAAUUCGUCCCACACCUUAGCUUAUACCAUCUUCUUAUGCUCUGGGCUGUAGGAGGAUCAGCACCAUAUGUGGUACGAAAUUCACAUUGCACGGAAAUCACAGACUCACAUUCAGCAAACCGUAUAACACAAAACGCUUUCUGUUGUUUAGACGCCAUUUUGACAAUAACUGAGCUGGGCGUUGACAGAAGCGCGCUACUGCUACCUAGCGGAAACCACGCGAAACUCGAGAGCUUCCUCUUACUAACAGUACAUUGUUCUAUCAAAUCGGACUUAUAGAUGAAUAGCAAUAAAUUUUUAAAAUCGGAUGAUUCUUUUUGAAACGCCCUGUAUAUGGGGAUCAAAUUUUGAAUACUUAUUCUAAUCGCUAACUGAACGAUCCUUUCAUCUAGAUUCUAGAGAGUAUUUUUUGACGCUGGUCACGAAUAUUUUCGUAUUAACUAGGAAGUGUAAUAGUUGGUCGAAAAACACUGAUGUAAUUAUCCUUCUUAUGUUUCAUGAAAAUGAAGAUCCAGGAAACGACGCGCAAAACCACUAAAUGAACACGAAGCCACCACAUCUUGUGGUUGCAAGCUCACUACAGAAUAAAAAUACCGAAUGUUUAAACGAAUCGAACAAUGGAUACUUGCGCCUGGUUUACUUAUGGUACAGUUGCGCCUUCAAAUUUUUUUUGUAAUAGUGAUGUCACUAUUGUUAAUGAAGGUGAGACGAUAGUCGCUUAAAAUGGGUUGAGGUAUUUUCGAGCGCGUACAAAAAAUACCUAAUUUAUGCAUGCAUAUGGUAAGUAUUAUGUAAGUACAUAGCUAAAGAUGUACCGAGUGUCCUAUUUUGCUUGAGACUCGGCUGUUUUAAAAGAUAGAGACUUGUGAUUUUCGCGACUUUGUGCUAUUUUUUUUGUGGAACUUUUAAUACCACAGGCAGAACCAAUCUAGCUACGUUUGUUUCUGAGAUACAAGGUGAAAACGAAAAACUUUUUGGGAUGUUACCAUAUCUUACUACCCACGUAGAAAUUUUCCGUAGAAGCCAGUGGCGUAGUAAAAAAGAUUUUGGCACCGUUUUUGACAUUUGACCCAAAGUUAGUAUUUUUUAAAUACAACCUCCUAUAUGUCGCAAUGCCAAUUUUUUGUAUUCUUUUUCCUGAGUACGUACCAUAACCUAUAUCUAUUUUAUAUGGUGUUCAUUUUGUUUUAUCCGCUAUUGAUAUCUCGAGAACUAUAAGAGCUCCGAGGUCGGUUAAAUUAACAACCAAUUUCUAUUUUACAAGACUAUGGAAUAGGACAGUUAUUAGAAAUCCACUGAUUCGGGAACAUAUCAUUUAAAUUUGCGUAUUAUGGUCAGGUGCAUCGUCUUGUAGAUAAUAUAAAUGUGUUUGGUACAUUAAGGAUGCAUCAUGUAGCAUAUGUGAUAAAGCGUCUCUUAAAAAUUGCAAAUACCUCACCUGUGAGAGUACCUUCAUACAUAUGAAUAAAUAUUUUAUCUUUCAAAAUAGCACACCAAACGUUAACACUACAUUUUUUUUAAUCCACCUACGCACAAUUAUGGGU